UUCGACAUGAAAUAUCAAAAC
This 21-nucleotide non-coding RNA is filed under the name Caenorhabditis elegans. Lineage: Eukaryota; Metazoa; Nematoda; Chromadorea; Rhabditida; Rhabditidae. The record is from RNAcentral.